UACGGAGGGUGCAAGCGUUGUCCGGAAUCACUGGGCGUAAAGGGCGCGUAGGCGGCUCAUGAAGGCUGUGGUGAAAGUCCGGGGCUCAACCUCGGAUCGGCCGUGGCGACUCGUGGGCUGGAGCACUGUAGAGGCGGGUGGAAUUCCGGGUGUAGCGGUGAAAUGCGUAGAGAUCCGGAGGAACACCAGUGGCGAAGGCGGCUCGCUGGGCUUUACCUGACGCUGAGGCGCGAAAGCGUGGGGAGCGAACCGG
RNAcentral lists this ribosomal RNA (253 nucleotides) under uncultured bacterium. RNAcentral's name for it is "partial 16S ribosomal RNA". It matches the Rfam family "Bacterial small subunit ribosomal RNA", at positions 524 to 776 of the family's 1533-position model. The record is from RNAcentral.